Molecule: long non-coding RNA, 3694 nt
Filed under: Rattus norvegicus (Norway rat)
Lineage: Eukaryota; Metazoa; Chordata; Mammalia; Rodentia; Muridae
Description: long non-coding RNA NONRATT019244
Source: RNAcentral
UGAGAUCUUCCAUGUUGAAGGUAAUGUAUUUUUUUUUAAGAUUUUAAAAUUGCUAUUUUGUUACAAAAUAGAGACCUAUUAACAGUUGAGAGCUCCUUAUGUGCCCUCAGGGAAAGAGCCCUCUGUGCAACAAAACUACACGAACAUCUUCAGCACUUUCUGAGGGUGAUUAUAUACUACAUAAAUUGAUCUUGUGUAUUUAACCUUAUCUUUUUAAUUUUAAAGUUGAGAUUUUGAAACGUGGUUGUGCUCUGCUGGAGGGGUUGGGAUGCUUAGGUGUUUGCCUACUUGUUCAGUAAACUACAUUUCAUCAGUGGAUGUGUACACCUGCCAACUUUUUUGGUGUGUCUCAAACAUUUAUAGUGCUUGUCUUUCAGCAGAUGAUCCCACAAAACAAUAACUUCUCAUUCUUGAAUGUCUACUCUUUCUCACUAACAACAUAGGAAUUGUUUCUGUGUUCACAUUAUUCUGUAUUGCAUCUUUUAUGUGGUGACAGCCUAUUAUCUCUUUUUAGUGAUUUAAUUUGAAAUCAGGCUAUUGGAUCUCUGCCACUUAAGAAAGAACAGUUCAUCUGACCUUUCUUCAAAAUGGUACCUGCUGAUGUCACAGUGGAAUAUAGUACAAAUAGACCUAGAAUGUGGCUUUUUAAAUUGGGGCAAUCAUCUCUUAGACCCUUUUUCAAGAUGGCAUGGAAACAUUUGGGAUUAGAGGCAAUAGAAAGAAACUCUGUAAUGUUGGUAUCUAAACUACUUGUGUUGCCUCUGGGUCUAAUCAGGAAAAAAGUAAUAUGAAGUCUGAAAAGGCAGGGAAAUAGUAUAGGUCUCCUUUUUCUUUUUUUUUUUUUUAACUUGCCAGUUUUCUGAGUCCCAAUUCCUAGUCUAUGCCACAUUCAGAUGCUGUGAAUAUCAUAGCAUUAGUUUUGUGUGGGCUCCUUUCAUUUUAUGAAUUCUGAGAGUUCUGUCUGUACUUCUAGUUGGUACCUAUACAAAUCAGAUUCUCUUAACUUUGUCACUAUGACUUAUUUCAGUGCCAUGCAACGAGUCAAUGUAUGUGGGAACAGUUGUACAUUGUAAUUUUCAAGAAAAGGUAGCUCUUAAGGCCAGUGGCACUGAUUCUUUGCUUUCAUAGCUACUUACUCUAGUAAGAGAAUUCAAUGAAACUUCAUUAAAAAAAAAAAAACAAAAACUAAAAAUUUCCCGUUGUAUGUAUCCCAGUCACUUUGACCCAGAUUUCAAGUCGAUGCUAAGUUAACAAAGCACAUCCUGAUUUUAUAUGCAGAAGAUUACAGAAUACAGUAAUUUGUAGGUCUUCUGUGUGGGAUCAUUUAACUAUUUGAAAAAAUUGUUUAAAAAUCAUCUACCCAACUUUUGAAUUUUAGAUGUGAUCAAGCCCAUGUUAUCUUUUUAGCCAGGGAUAGAACUUGUAACCAUCAGAUUCAGUAUGCAAUCUCAGCCAUGAAUCUGAGUAUUUCUUCCCUCACAUCUUUGAGUCAUUUUCUAAGCAGAUUGUCACCAGUGUUGGUGACUAAUCUUUAGGGAGAAAAGUUGCAUUGCAGAUAUAUAUUGAUGUCUGAGAACUGUUCUUGUGUUUUAGUGAAUGAAGAGUACCAAUGGGAUCACUUACUGUAACUCCGUCUACUGAAUGGCCCCUUCUGCAAGCAGAACGCAGAUGAACAUGCUCAAGGAGUAUCCCGUUUUCUAGAGAUUAAGUUUGCUAGUAACUCCUUUACACUAGCUAUUUCUUUGUAUCCCUUUGCUGGCAAGGGAGUACAAGGAGUCAAACCACAGAUCGGAACACCCCACAUUUGAGUGGAGACUUAUUUUUACUCUAAGGGGAAUUAUUCCCCCAAGUCUGAAACUGGCAAUUAUUUUUUUUCUCUUACAUAAAAAUUUAAAAAUAUCCCCCAAACCAGUGGAAAACAGACACUGGCUGCACUUAGUACUGCCAAGAGCCAAGGUCAUUUGCAUAUAUUCCAUCAACCUGUCAAGAAUUAGGCCUCACUUUAUAACCCAAGGCAUGGAAGUGCAUGCAUUCUCUUAGCUGGGCAAACAAUUAUACUGUAGUUGUGAUACAACACACGUGGCUUUUAUUUGUACUGCACAUACCCACUGUACAGCCACUUGGGAGUAUCGUGGUUAGCUUGCAGCAACUGCCGUCUGCAUUUAUACUGUUUAUUGCAAAUUCUUUUCCCUGGAAGUGAAAGAAAUGUUUUUCUUGUUGCAUUGAUUACAUUUUAUAAAUUUGCUUAGCUGGAAAGUUUGGGAAAAGAGGCCUGUUUGUCAAUUGUACAACCGAUUGUGAAGCUUAGUGUGAAUAUUUUUACGUCUGUAUUAGACAUUUUCUUUGCAAAUCUAUUGUUCGAUUGAAAUGUAAAUGAAAUUAAAGAUGGUGUACACCCAUCAUGUAAAAAGCAGGCACCAUCUCUAAGAUGGAUUUAAUGCUCAUUUUUAAGGCAUAUACUCAGCUUCUAUUUAAAACUAUAAAAUAAUUCUGUACAAUGAAAUGGGGAAUAUAUAUGGGAAUAAAUUCUAUUCCAUUUAUUUCAAUUUGAAUUUCCAAAUUGUAAUGUUUCCCUUUGUGCUAUAGGAAUAGGAUUAAAUGGGGGAAGACUAGGACUUAUAAGGCCUGUAUAUGGGGGGAGGGCAGAGAUGGAACAAUGAGGGUUGUGAUGAUAGUGAAUAGCAAAGAGUGAAUUCUGUGUGUUUUUGCUGUAGCACUGAAGUGAAGAGAUAUUAGCUUUGGCUGUUCACAAAAUAGAGCAUCAUGAUUUUCAGUGUUUGAGAGAAAAUUGAUGGAAAAAGUUUGCAGUACUUGACAUGUAUUUGCAUGCACAAAAUAAAAUUAUUUGUCCACCUUAAAAGUUGUUUGCUUAGUGUCAAUGUUAAGUUUAUGGUAUGUAUUAGUUGUCUUGAUUUUCUUGAUAUAUCUUAAUAAAGCUGGAAAGCCACUCCUUAACUAGGGCCUUAAUUAAUCACCUAUUUUAUUGGUAUAUCAUUGGGAAGUAAAUAGACCCAAAGAAAUUGAAAUGUAUGUCUGACAUUUCAUUCAAUAUAGAGCACUUUCUAAAUGGGAGAUGGUGUAAAAUAGAUAAUACUGAACUUACAGUCUUUGGGACAGAUAGGAGAGAUGUAUUCUGUAGGCUUCAGAGAAGUUCUUAAGGAUGACCUAAAAUCUCAGUACCAUUUUUAUUGACUCCAGAGUACCUUUAUCACCCAGCUGAUGUCCUAAGCCCCUGUCUGUGCUGGUCUUUAAGACUAUAGGUCAAUGAAAUGAGCACUUUCCCUGGAUGCUCAUAGUGUAGAAAUGGGAAAGACAACCAAAGGGCCAGUUGUAGUUACGUUGAGCAAGAGGAGGUGUUUCUCUAUGAGACAACCUUUGGCUAGACUUCAAAUCCUGCCUAACCUUUUUACCAGUCUCAGAUUACCUUCCAGACCCACUUGAUAUUUUAAUUGUUUUAUAUUUGAGAUGUUAUAUAAUUUGGGAAAAUCAAAAAGUAAUAGAGUCAGAGUUCUCCUGUCUUUCUGUUUCUCAAAAAGGUAAUAGUGAUGGUAGUAGGAUCAUUUUCACCUAAGUAGAAAGUGUGAUUAAGAGAUAGGGCUUCACUGACUGAUAAUAUAAACAACCAGUUCUCGGAGUUCUAAGUGUUAUACUGUAGAUUGUUGUCACCAUUUCCAGACAAGACAGAUACUUUUGA